Long non-coding RNA from Harpegnathos saltator (Jerdon's jumping ant), 330 nucleotides. RefSeq lists it as uncharacterized. The record is from RefSeq and is a predicted model, not a curated record. NCBI's taxonomy places the organism in Eukaryota, Metazoa, Arthropoda, Insecta, Hymenoptera, Formicidae. The transcript is spliced from 3 exons.
CAACUGCGUUUUAUCUCGCGCUAAACCGCUUCUACGCUUCUCAAAAUCAUGAGUAGCAUCGCCCUUGAAGGGAACAGCACAUCAAGAAAAGAAUUAUCGUUGGAAGCGGAAAAAGAAAAGGAGUAACCAGAAUCUGUUUGUAUGCGACGCAAAUGUUUGACAUGUCAUUCGGAAAAGGACAAUGGGGGGUGUCACGAUUAGCAGAACUAGAACUUUCUUUUGUUAAUGGUUUCGAACUACAAGAUACAUUCUUAGAAAGGAUUCGAUUUGACUAGUCUCUUGGAAACGGAACACAUUUCUGACGAUUAAGAAUUAGGGUUUAAAGAUAAU